UACAGAGGGAGCAAGCGUUGUCCGGAAUCAUUGGGCGUAAAGCGCGCGUAGGCGGCCCCGUAAGUCCGCUGUGAAAGUCAAAGGCUCAACCUUUGAAAGCCGGUGGAUACUGUGGGGCUAGAGUACGGAAGAGGCGAGUGGAAUUCCUGGUGUAGCGGUGGAAUGCGCAGAUAUCAGGAGGAACACCAAUAGCGAAGGCAGCUCGCUGGGACGUUACUGACGCUGAGGCGCGAAAGCGUGGGGAGCGAACAGG
Molecule: ribosomal RNA, 253 nt
Filed under: uncultured bacterium
Lineage: Bacteria
Description: partial 16S ribosomal RNA
Rfam family: Bacterial small subunit ribosomal RNA
Source: RNAcentral